GUGUGCCCAGCAGCGCGGGAACAUGUCUCUGGGAAUGGCCGUAACCCUGGGUCUGGAAGGCUUUGAGGGAGGUGUCCAUUCAGCCCGGGCUCUGAGAAGAAGAGUGUCAUUGGCGCCACCUGGCACCCAGCCACUGAACUUCAUAGCGCCUACGCCCCCAAAUCAAAGUGAAAGAUGUAGCCCACAGUGUUGCUCACGAUUUCAGAGGAGAAUUGAAAAUGAGGAGGAAUGGAAUAUUCACAAGUGUCUACUUGUCAACAAAGCGUGCCAGGAUGCUGUGAGAAUUAAAUUACAUAGUAGCUGCAAAAUAAUUUGGCUUUCUUGGAGUUGGACACCACCUGAACCUGAGUGAAAUGAUUGUGCACUUCUUAAUGGCCUCCAUCUCUGGCAAAGCUGCCUUGGGACCAGAACAAUUAUCUAAGUCCCAGUUUCCAGCCUAAAACAGCAUGAGGACAAGGCCAGGAGGCCACAGCAAGGCUGUAAUCAGAACCCACAAGGAUUGCAUGGAGAUGCUGCAGUGCCGCCACCACCCAACGGCCGGAGACCCCAGCAAAGCUGGAACAUGAAUGUGAUUGCUGGAACUGAAGCAGCCAUGUUGGACUCUGAGGUGAAAGCCUCAUGCGCAGGAGAGCAGGGCACAGACAAUAAGGAUCCUGAAAGCCCUGGCUCACGUCUUUCUGGACUUCUUUUAUGGUAGGAAGGGAUGAGAGUCUAACUUGUUUAAGCUGUUGUUAUGUUGGGUCUUUUAUCAUUUGCAACUAAACCAACUCUUACUAAUGCCUGUCCCUCCCUCUGCCCGUCCUUGGCCGUGCCUCCCACCUCACAGAACAUGAGCUCUGUAAAGUCAGGGUCCCACCUGCCUUGUUGACUGCUGUAGCCCCAGCACUAGAGCAACACCUGCAAUAAUAGUCAUUGGGUAAAUGCUUAUUCAAUAGAUAACUUGCUCAUCUCUCUUCAUAUUUAAUUUCUUCCCUCUACUGUCUCCUUUCCCUCUCAGCAUCAUGUUAUUUCAGUUCUCUUUUGACCUCCCUCAAAUCCUCUCUUGCUUAUGUGUCCCUGAAAAGUAGACAUUUCCCACAUUUGUGUCCUUGGCUGAAGUGGAAAGAACUAGGCAUUUCCAUGAUGAUGUCUACAUUCCUAAAAACCCUUCCAAGAGAAGCUGCCCUUACCACAGCCCACUUCCAGCCUUGUUUAGUUCCAUUUGCUCCUGUCCCACCCUGAUUGGAGGGGGGUAUCACAUGACCCAGCGAUGGCCGUGACAGCCAAUCAGUAGGCUUGUCAGGAGCCUAUGUCAUUGCCUGGUCUAGAAGAAUGAACUGCACCAAAGAGAUUCCCUCUAUCAGGAAUAUUUCCUUAUUUUGAUUUUAAGUUUAUUUUAUAUGAAAAAUACUCAUAAACACCUAAAAGAAAAAUCACUCCCCCAGUUAUACCAGUUUUUAAAAACAUACAUGGACAUGAAAUUCUUACCCCUUCCCCUUUCCAGGCCUAAGAAAUCUUGUCCCCUUGACAUAGCCUUAGAAGUUACUAUGUUAUUUUCCUGAUUUUAUUCUUUUAUGAAAGAGGCAUCUAAAUAUACACACGUGUUUACACACAUACCCCCCACAAACACACACUUAUCUUCUAUAUAUUGGUCUGCAGUGUAGAAUCUCUCUAGGCCCAGAACUGCAGCUCUACCAGGGACUGCUCCUAGGCUUUGAGCGAAUGUCUGCUGACAUACUCCAUAAUCUCCCCACUGAUGCAAUAUUCAGUACGUCGCGGCGAACAUUCUUAGAUAUGUAGAUUUACGAACUUGAAGACAGUUACUGAAAAGCAGGAUUGCUAAGUCAAAGUGUGCAUUUAAAAAAUUUUAAAUAAAUGUUACCAAAUU
Long non-coding RNA from Pan troglodytes (chimpanzee), 1867 nucleotides. RefSeq lists it as uncharacterized. NCBI's taxonomy places the organism in Eukaryota, Metazoa, Chordata, Mammalia, Primates, Hominidae. The record is from RefSeq and is a predicted model, not a curated record. The transcript is spliced from 4 exons.